RNAcentral lists this ribosomal RNA (452 nucleotides) under uncultured bacterium. RNAcentral describes it as "bacterial SSU rRNA". It matches the Rfam family "Bacterial small subunit ribosomal RNA", at positions 26 to 518 of the family's 1533-position model. The record is from RNAcentral.
UCGUCAGAACGAACGCUGGCGGCAGGCCUAACACAUGCAAGUCGAGCGCGCCCUUCGGGGUGAGCGGCGGACGGGUUAGUAACGCGUGGGAACGUACCCUUUGGUAGGGAAUAGCCACUGGAAACGGUGAGUAAUACCCUAUGAGCCCUUCGGGGGAAAGAUUUAUCGCCAAAGGAUCGGCCCGCGUUAGAUUAGGUAGUUGGUGGGGUAAUGGCCUACCAAGCCUACGAUCUAUAGCUGGUUUUAGAGGAUGAUCAGCAACACUGGGACUGAGACACGGCCCAGACUCCUACGGGAGGCAGCAGUGGGGAAUCUUGGACAAUGGGGGCAACCCUGAUCCCAGCCAUGCCGCGUGAGUGAAGAAGGCCUUAGGGUCGUAAAGCUCUUUCGCCUGUGAAGAUAAUGACGGUAGCAGGUAAAGAAACCCCGGCUAACCCCGUGCCAGCAGCAGC